GGUAGUCAUUCAAGAGCUGCAAUACAUAAAUACAAUUUGCAAAUCUCGUAUGAAAUCAACAAAUAACACGAAGCAAAAAAAUUUCAGAUGAAGGCUAAAGCCCAUACUAAAAAUGUAGUUUCACUGUCUUAUAAAAACAAACUUUCAACUGAUAUUGUAACUUCGGUUCAAUUCGAAGAAGAUGGAAAGAAGAACUUGGACUUAAAACUAUAAAAAGCAAUUGUCAGCAAGACAAAACUAAUGAUAAUUACUUCAUCAUUUAGGGUGACUCAAGCCAUAUUAUGCAUCAAAAUCCCAGUCAUGUUCUUUUCCAAAAUCCAUUCAAUUCAAACACCUAAUUUUUCUUCAGAGAAAAUGAAUUUAACGAGUCAACUUCAGAAUUGGAGGAAACAGCAGAAGUUAUCAAAACUCAAUAAAACAGCUCUUCUACCUUGGCAUGACAUUCAACAGCAAC
This 454-nucleotide unclassified non-coding RNA is filed under the name Hevea brasiliensis (rubber tree). The record is from RNAcentral. Lineage: Eukaryota; Viridiplantae; Streptophyta; Magnoliopsida; Malpighiales; Euphorbiaceae.